UAUGGUAAAUGAAUGAAUGAUGCGAGAGACAAAUUGAGUCUUCACUUCUCUAUGCUUGGACUGAAGGGAGCUCCCUAUUUUUAUCUUUCUCAGAGUACCACAUUUUAUAUCUAUAUAUAUACAAGCAUUGAAUUCGUGUGUA
RNAcentral lists this non-coding RNA (142 nucleotides) under Arabidopsis thaliana (thale cress). Lineage: Eukaryota; Viridiplantae; Streptophyta; Magnoliopsida; Brassicales; Brassicaceae. The record is from RNAcentral.